Long non-coding RNA from Lotus japonicus, 863 nucleotides. RefSeq lists it as uncharacterized. Lineage: Eukaryota; Viridiplantae; Streptophyta; Magnoliopsida; Fabales; Fabaceae. The record is from RefSeq and is a predicted model, not a curated record. The transcript has 3 exons.
AUCCAUAUGAAAGAAAAGCAUGAGAUGCAAUUACAACAAUGGUCAAUCAAAGAAGGUUUUUGUUUAAAUCUCUCACCACCGUAUCCUUUCCGGUUCACACAGAUUUGUGUCUCUUGCGUCAUGUUUCUGAACCCGACAUCGUUCCUUGGAUUCUUCCCUACUCCAAAUUGCGAUCUUCGUCAGAUAUUCAUGGCUUGAUUGAUGUUUGGUUUUCAGUUUUCUAAAUAUUAGAUUUUAUUGCCUGGAUUUUGAUUUGUGGCGAAAUCUCAUGUUCAUCUUCCGGCUUUUGCAGAAUUUUAUUUCGUUGCAGUAUAUUACACUUAUUGGUCUUUUGAUUCUGCUCUAUGAAUAUCAACAUACAUUGCAGUUUGCUUUUGGGAACAUUACUUAGGUUCUUGGAAACAAGUACCAAAGCAAACGACUUGAAAUAAUUGAAGCCAGUUUUACUGAUGUUGGAGAUUGUCUACUACUCAAGCACAUAUAUCAAAUCGCUUUUUUUUUUGUUUGGUGGUCUCCCUUCACGAGUUCUUGAAGAAAUUGGCAGAUAGUAGCAAAUGGGAACUGAGGAUUGAGAAGUAUGUUAGAGAGCAUGUUAGUAGCACAAGCAAGGGUUCUAUAAGAGAAGCGGAAAUUAAUCAGGGACUGUUAGGUUAGUUAGAUGUUAUUAUAGUAGUUACUUAAUACUAGGAUGAGAUGAACUAUAAAUAAAGGGAAAUCAAAUUAGAGGGACGCAUUAUGUUGCAUUAUAUAUCUCUCAUUAAGUAUUUCCUUUAGUAUUUGAAAUUAUUGUUAAAGUUUGGUAUUGAACAUGUCUUAAGCACAAGAGAAAGUUAUUAUAUAUCUCUCAUUAAGUAUUUCCUUUA